UUCAUGAUUCAGACCUUGGUGAGUGGCGGACGGGUGAGUAACACGUGGGUAACCUGCCCAGAAGUGGGGGAUAACAUUUGGAAACAAGUGCUAAUACCGCAUAACAACUUAGAUCACAUGAUCUUUAGUUUAAAAGAUUGGUUUUGCUAUCUCUUCUGGAUGGACCCGCGGCGUAUUAGCUAGUUGGUGAGGUAAUAGCUCACCAAGGCGAUGAUACGUAGCCCGACCCUGAGGAGGGUAAUCGGCCACAGUUGGGACUGAGACACCGGACCCAAACUCC
This 280-nucleotide ribosomal RNA is filed under the name uncultured Lactobacillaceae bacterium. RNAcentral describes it as "partial 16S ribosomal RNA". It matches the Rfam family "Bacterial small subunit ribosomal RNA", at positions 71 to 339 of the family's 1533-position model. Lineage: Bacteria; Bacillati; Bacillota; Bacilli; Lactobacillales; Lactobacillaceae. The record is from RNAcentral.